CCUACGGGACGCAGCAGUGAGGAAUAUUGGUCAAUGGGCGCGAGCCUGAACCAGCCAAGUCGCGUGAGGGAUGAAGGAUCUAUGGUUCGUAAACCUCUUUUAUAAGGGAAUAAAGUGCGGGACGCGUCCCGCUUCGCAUGUACCUUAUGAAUAAGGAUCGGCUAACUCCGUGCCAGCAGCCGCGGUAAUACGGAGGAUCCGAGCGUUAUCCGGAUUUAUUGGGUUUAAAGGGUGCGUAGGCGGCCUUUUAAGUCAGCGGUGAAAGUCUGUGGCUCAACCAUAGAAUUGCCGUUGAAACUGGGGGG
RNAcentral lists this ribosomal RNA (305 nucleotides) under uncultured bacterium. RNAcentral describes it as "bacterial SSU rRNA". It matches the Rfam family "Bacterial small subunit ribosomal RNA", at positions 338 to 640 of the family's 1533-position model. The record is from RNAcentral.